RNAcentral lists this ribosomal RNA (482 nucleotides) under uncultured bacterium. RNAcentral's name for it is "partial 16S ribosomal RNA". It matches the Rfam family "Bacterial small subunit ribosomal RNA", at positions 28 to 507 of the family's 1533-position model. The record is from RNAcentral.
GACGAACGCUGGCGGCGUGCUUAACACAUGCAAGUCGUACGGAAAGGCCCUGGCUUUGGUUGGGGUGCUCGAGUGGCGAACGGGUGAGUAACACGUGGGUGAUCUGCCCUGCACUUUGGGAUAAGCCUGGGAAACUGGGUCUAAUACUGGAUAGGACCAUACUUUUGUGUGUCCUGGUGGAAAGGCUUCUUUUUGGGGCUGGUGUGGGAUGAGCUUGCGGCCUAUCAGCUUGUUGGUGGGGUAAUGGCCUACCAAGGCGUCGACGGGUAGCCGGCCUGAGAGGGUGUACAGCCACAGUGGGACUGAGAUACGGCCCAGACUCCUGCGGGAGGCAGCAGUGGGGAAUAUUGCACAAUGGGCGCAAGCCUGAGGCAGCGAAGCCGCGUGGGGGAUGACGGCCUUCGGGUUGUAAACCUCUUUCGCUGGGGACGAAGCUUUUUUUGGUGACGGUACCUGGAGAAGAAGCACCGGCUAACUACGUG